GGGGGGGGGUGUUGUUUG
Molecule: microRNA, 18 nt
Filed under: Macrophomina phaseolina MS6
Lineage: Eukaryota; Fungi; Ascomycota; Dothideomycetes; Botryosphaeriales; Botryosphaeriaceae
Description: miR-4472
Source: RNAcentral